Molecule: ribosomal RNA, 404 nt
Filed under: Actinomycetes bacterium
Lineage: Bacteria; Bacillati; Actinomycetota; Actinomycetes
Description: Actinobacteria bacterium partial 16S ribosomal RNA
Rfam family: Bacterial small subunit ribosomal RNA
Source: RNAcentral
UGGGGAAUAUUGGACAAUGGGCGCAAGCCUGAUCCAGCCAUGCCGCGUGAGUGAUGAAGGCCCUAGGGUUGUAAAGCUCUUUCACCGGUGAAGAUAAUGACGGUAACCGGAGAAGAAGCCCCGGCUAACUUCGUGCCAGCAGCCGCGGUAAUACGAAGGGGGCUAGCGUUGUUCGGAUUUACUGGGCGUAAAGCGCACGUAGGCGGACUAUUAAGUCAGGGGUGAAAUCCCGGGGCUCAACCCCGGAACUGCCUUUGAUACUGGUAGUCUUGAGUUCGAGAGAGGUGAGUGGAAUUCCGAGUGUAGAGGUGAAAUUCGUAGAUAUUCGGAGGAACACCAGUGGCGAAGGCGGCUCACUGGCUCGAUACUGACGCUGAGGUGCGAAAGCGUUGGGAGCAAACAGG